CCCUUAGAUGUUCGGGGCCGCACGCGCGCUACACUGAAUGAAUCAGCGAGUGUAUGUCCUAGGCCGAAAGGUCCGGGUAACCCGUUGAACCUCAUUCGUGAUUGGGAUAGGGACUUGCAAUUGUUUCCCUUGAACGAGGAAUUCCCAGUAAGCGCAAGUCAUCAGCUUGCGUUGAUUACGUCCCUGCCCUUUGUACACACCGCCCGUCGCUACUACCGAUUGAAUGGUCCGGUGAAGCCUCGGGAUUGUGGUUCUUGCCGCUUUAUUGUGGCGUGACCGCGAGAACUUGUCUAAACCUUAUCAUCUAGAGGAAGGUGAAGUCGUAACA
Molecule: ribosomal RNA, 328 nt
Filed under: uncultured eukaryote
Lineage: Eukaryota
Description: partial 18S ribosomal RNA
Rfam family: Eukaryotic small subunit ribosomal RNA
Source: RNAcentral